GCCUGAGUCACCAGAGCUUCUGCUAGAAUCCUCUGCAGGCAGGACCCAGGACUCCUUGCAGUUCUGCCUCCCCGCUCCUAUAGCCAGGCUGGAGGGGAGUAAGCCCAUUGGCCUGCACUCUGACUCGAAGUCACCAUGGCGCCACUCUUGUGCACGCACUCUCUCUCGCUACCACACAUACCCCACCACCAUCACUACCACCUGCGGAUGCUCUGGAGAUUCCAGAAAGGAUCUCAAGGACUGGCACCCUGCCCAGUUACGUAACCUGUGGGCUUGCCUUUGCGCAGCUGCUCAUCUGCCCAUCUCCAAGCUGAUCAAACCAUCCCACCUCAUUCCUUGCCUUCUGCAAGGGGAAGUGCCUCAGGCUGGAAUCCGCCUUGUCUAUAGACGGAAUGUGCAUUUUGCCCAGUGGAUUGGAAGGUGCUGGUGUUGGGAUGGACUGAUGACUGUCUUUGGAUGGUGAGUUGCAACCCCCAGCUCCCCAGUGCUCCACUCUGGCUGACUUCUGACCUUGGCAAAUUGCUUCCUCUCUCCCACCUCCUCCAUACAAGGUGGCGGUGACUCCCAUUCCCUCCCUCCCUCACAGGAAAGCGAGGAUUACAAGGGCACACUGUAUCAGAUGUGUCCAGAAGUGGCUUGGCCUUUUGGAGACAGACACAGUUCACAGCUGUGAAGACGGGCCUUCACCAGAGAAGGAAUUCUCUGGGCUGCUACGUUCAGUGGGCUCCUUGCUGGCUGGUCCAGGAAGUCUGGAGUUCAUCCUGAAGGUGGCUGCUGUGCCCAGCGGGUGAUGGGGCUGCCAACACCACAAGAACCAAGAACUAGAAUCUGUUUCCAAGGAACGAACACUCUCUCCCUCUGACACAAAAGCAAGAACAUGAGAUAGCUGUCACCGCCAUUACCCCAUUGCCAAUACAAACACAGCCUCCUAAGUCCCUUGCUAAACAAUCUAGGAUCAGGGCAUCUAGAUUGUCAGAGUGACUCCUCCAGACCCCCAGGUCAUCCCUGGAGUUUUGUGCCCACUGCAUCGGGGUUGUCAUGGCCGGUCCUGCCUGGGCUCCCUUCUCUGAUACCUGUGGGAUCAGAACCACAGACCGUGAGGAGGAAACAGAAACCGUGGCUCUCCACAGGGAAGCCCAGGAGGUCAAGACCACCCACGAGGAGGGUGAGAUGGGAGCUGCCCAGGGCAUCCCUGGAAGAACUCAUCAUGCUAAGGAAGAAACUCCAAAAGCCAGGAGCCCCAAACCUUGGCAGCCCAGGCUCUGGGAGAAACCCCCAAGGUCUGGAGUUAAAGGAUUUUCCUCGUUGACUGCUUGUCUGUCUUUCUUCCCUUCUGGGGCAGUCCUCUCUCCUCCCUCAGCUCAUCCCUGCGUCCCAUCGGAGGGGCGGGAGGAAAGCAGGAGGGGAGAUGGCAGGACCCAGACAGAUCCUCAGGACUCUCCCAGCCUCUGUUGCCAUGGCAAUGCUGCUAUUUUUAUCCCGUGUUGUUCAUGAUGCUCAAAGCUCUGACUUUCUCUGUUCCGCAGAGGCCAGGCUGGCUUCUGCCCUCAUCCUUCAACACAGCACCUUCUCCCAGAGGCCUGAGGAGUGAAAAGAGCGAUGGAGGAAAAGGGAACCCACAAAGUCACCCCUCAGCCAGGGGGAAUGGUUGACAGGGGGUCUGCCUCUGCAGUUUUGAGACUUUGGUUUUCUAUCUGGCUUAGGCACCCAGUUUUAUGUUUUCUGGGAGAUCAGAAUUCCACAUGGUCUCCCUGGGAGGCUGCUCCAGAGAAAAAAAGAAGAGUUGCUGUUCAGAAUGAGUUUUUCCUACACGGCUAUGACUCUGGGGCUGCUGCUCUUCUUGGAAAACCAGACCUAGUUCUGAAGAAUGUCCUGCUGGUACAAGCCAGUCCCCAACCUCUUAAAAGGAGAUAGAGAACUAAGUUUGGUUAAUUAGUCAUCCCUGGAGAAUCCAAACCAAUACUUCUCUAUCUUCUGUCCCCCCACCAUAGAACUAGGACAAGUGGCUUCAUGUCUUUGCCCAGUCUUUCUGUCCAAAGCUCCAUAGCAUAUAUUCUCUGGUCUGGAAUGAGUACUCUUGUCUCCCUAUGCCCCUACCUCCCCAGGCCCAGACAAUCAUUUUUCUCUCCAGGAGCUUGAGGUCUUGAAUCUUGGUGACGCUCUUGAAGAUAGCAUUUAAUGAAAGGAUUUCUUAGAGUGGUUCUUUCUCUGUCUCUUCACCCUGGCCCAGCGUCUGGUCCUCUCCCUCUGUCCCCACCUGAGAGUCAAUGGUGCUAAUGCCCCCCACCUAUACUCUCCUAUGUAGGUCAGUGACAUUUGAACCCAACACCUGGAGUGGCUGUGUUGGCAGGGCAGUGCAUCUCAUGCAUGUCCUGAAGACCACGACCCUGGAGACAGGUACAGAUCUUAACCCAGUUAAGUAGCAACCUAUAUCAUGUUAAACUCCUGCACUGAGGCUCUACCUCGGCUGAACUGCCUCCUGGAUGGCUAAUUUUCCUGGGGUGGCUGGGACCCAUUUACUAAGCCUCUAAUUGGUUUCAUUUUGGCUCAGGUUGCACAGUUUCCCGAAACUAUGCACCUGGAGUAAGCACUUUUCUGGUCGCCACUGAAAAGCAUGCUGGCAAACGCUGCUCUGUUAAUUGCUGUAAUAAACAGACUUUAUUAUA
Molecule: long non-coding RNA, 2666 nt
Organism: Galeopterus variegatus (Sunda flying lemur)
Lineage: Eukaryota; Metazoa; Chordata; Mammalia; Dermoptera; Cynocephalidae
Exons: 2
Source: RefSeq, a predicted model, not a curated record